UGGGGAAUUUGGACAAUGGGCGAAAGCCUGAUCCAGCAAUGCCGCGUGUGUGAAGAAGGCCUUCGGGUUGUAAAGCACUUUUGUCCGGAAAGAAAUCCUUGGCUCUAAUACAGUCGGGGGAUGACGGUACCGGAAGAAUAAGCACCGGCUAACUACGUGCCAGCAGCCGCGGUAAUACGUAGGGUGCAAGCGUUAAUCGGAAUUACUGGGCGUAAAGCGUGCGCAGGCGGUUUGCUAAGACCGAUGUGAAAUCCCCGGGCUCAACCUGGGAACUGCAUUGGUGACUGGCAGGCUAGAGUAUGGCAGAGGGGGGUAGAAUUCCACGUGUAGCAGUGAAAUGCGUAGAGAUGUGGAGGAAUACCGAUGGCGAAGGCAGCCCCCUGGGCCAAUACUGACGCUCAUGCACGAAAGCGUGGGGAGCAAACAGGAUUAGAUACCCUGGUAGUCCACGCCCUAAACGAUGUCAACUAGUUGUUGGGGAUUCAUUUCCUUAGUAACGUAGCCUAACGCGUGAAGUUGACCGCCUGGGGAGUACGGUCGCAAGAUUAAAACUCAAAGGAAUUGACGGGGUCAUAGCUGUUUCCU
Molecule: ribosomal RNA, 585 nt
Filed under: uncultured bacterium
Lineage: Bacteria
Description: partial 16S ribosomal RNA
Rfam family: Bacterial small subunit ribosomal RNA
Source: RNAcentral